RNAcentral lists this ribosomal RNA (495 nucleotides) under uncultured bacterium. Its description in RNAcentral is "partial 16S ribosomal RNA". It matches the Rfam family "Bacterial small subunit ribosomal RNA", at positions 28 to 507 of the family's 1533-position model. The record is from RNAcentral.
GAUGAACGCUGGCGGCGUGCCUAAUACAUGCAAGUAGAACGCUGAAGGAGGAGCUUGCUCUUCUGGAUGAGUUGCGAACGGGUGAGUAACGCGUAGGUAACCUGCCUGGUAGCGGGGGAUAACUAUUGGAAACGAUAGCUAAUACCGCAUGACAACAGUUAUUGCAUGAUAACUGUUUAAAAGGGGCAACUGCUCCACUACCAGAUGGACCUGCGUUGUAUUAGCUAGUUGGUGAGGUAACGGCUCACCAAGGCGACGAUACAUAGCCGACCUGAGAGGGGGAUCGGCCACACUGGGACUGCGACACGGCCCAGACUCCUACGGGAGGCAGCAGUAGGGAAUCUUCGGCAAUGGACGGAAGUCUGACCGAGCAACGCCGCGUGAGUGAAGAAGGUUUUCGGAUCGUAAAGCUCUGUUGUAAGAGAAGAACGAGUGUGAGAGUGGAAAGUUCACACUGUGACGGUAUCUUACCAGAAAGGGACGGCUAACUACGUG